This 497-nucleotide ribosomal RNA is filed under the name uncultured bacterium. RNAcentral describes it as "partial 16S ribosomal RNA". It matches the Rfam family "Bacterial small subunit ribosomal RNA", at positions 28 to 507 of the family's 1533-position model. The record is from RNAcentral.
GAUGAACGCUGGCGGCGUGCCUAGUACAUGCAAAUCGAGCGAACGGACGAGAAGCUUGCUUUUCUGAUGUUAGCGGCGGACGGGUGAGUAACACGUGGAUAACCUACCUAUAAGACUGGGAUAACUUCGGGAAACCGGAGCUAAUACCGGAUAAUAUUUUGAACCGCAUGGUUCAAAAGUGAAAGACGGUCUUGCUGUCACUUAUAGAUGGAUCCGCGCUGCAUUAGCUAGUUGGUAAGGUAACGGCUUACCAAGGCAACGAUGCAUAGCCGACCUGAGAGGGUGAUCGGCCACACUGGAACUGAGACACGGUCCAGACUCCUACGGGAGGCAGCAGUAGGGAAUCUUCCGCAAUGGGCGAAAGCCUGACGGAGCAACGCCGCGUGAGUGAUGAAGGUCUUCGGAUCGUAAAACUCUGUUAUUAGGGAAGAACAUAUGUGUAAGUAACUGUGCACAUCUUGACGGUACCUAAUCAGAAAGCCACGGCUAACUACGUG